RNAcentral lists this ribosomal RNA (747 nucleotides) under uncultured marine bacterium. RNAcentral describes it as "bacterial SSU rRNA". It matches the Rfam family "Bacterial small subunit ribosomal RNA", at positions 14 to 794 of the family's 1533-position model. The record is from RNAcentral.
UGAUCCUGGCUCAGGAUGAACGCUAGCGUGGCGCCUAACACAUGCAAGUCGAACGAAUUUAUAUUCGUGGCAAACGGGUGAGUAACACGUGCUUAAUCUGCCCAUGAAGUGGGGGAUACCUGUCGAAAGGCAACUAAUCCCCCAUACGUUCCGGUGAAUGAAAAACAACCGGAAGAAAGGUUUACCGCUUCAGGAGGAGGGCGCGGACUAUUAGCUAGUUGGUAAGGUAAAGGCUUACCAAGGCGAUGAUGGAUAGCUGGUCUGAGAGGAUGAUCAGCCACAAUGGAACUGAGACACGGUCCAUACCCCUACGGGGGGCAGCAGUGGGGAAUAUUGCACAAUGGAGGAAACUCUAAUGCAGCGACCACGCGUGGAGGAUGAAGCAUUAAGGUGUGUAAACUCCUUUUCUGGAGGAAGACGACUGACGGUACUCCAGGAAUAAGGGACGGCUAACUACGUGCCAGCAGCCGCGGUAAUACGUAGGUCCCAAGCGUUAUCCGGAUUUACUGGGCGUAAAGCGUCCGUAGCCGGUCAUAUAAGUCUGAUUUCAAAUACCGGAGCUCAACUUCGGAAAGGGAUCAGAUACUGUAUAACUAGAGUGAGAUAGAGGGUGGUAGAAUUUCCAGUGGAGGGGUGAAAUCCGUUGAUAUUGGAAGGAAUACCGAAAGCGAAGGCAGCCACCUAUAUCUUUACUGACGGUCAGGGACGAAAGCAUGGGUAGCAAACGGGAUUAGAUACCCCGGUAGU